CAGAAAAUAGUUUAUAAAAAAUAUUAAUUUUGGAGAUUAAUGAAGAAAAUAUUUUUUUCUUUUCUGA
Molecule: transfer RNA, 67 nt
Filed under: Tanytarsus formosanus
Lineage: Eukaryota; Metazoa; Arthropoda; Insecta; Diptera; Chironomidae
Description: tRNA-Pro
Source: RNAcentral